Molecule: ribosomal RNA, 422 nt
Filed under: uncultured bacterium
Lineage: Bacteria
Description: bacterial SSU rRNA
Rfam family: Bacterial small subunit ribosomal RNA
Source: RNAcentral
UAAGGAAUAUUGGUCAAUGGACGCAAGUCUGAACCAGCCAUGCCGCGUGGAGGAUGAAGGUCCUCUGGAUUGUAAACUUCUUUUAUCUGGGACGAAACACUUCUUUUCUAAGAGGCCUGACGGUACCAGAUGAAUAAGCACCGGCUAACUCCGUGCCAGCAGCCGCGGUAAUACGGAGGGUGCAAGCGUUAUCCGGAAUCAUUGGGUUUAAAGGGUCCGCGGGCGGUCUUAUAAGUCAGUGGUGAAAGCCUACAGCUCAACUGUAGAACUGCCAUUGAUACUGUAAGACUUGAAUUCGAUCGAAGUGGGCGGAAUAUGUCAUGUAGCGGUGAAAUGCUUAGAUAUGACAUAGAACACCAAUUGCGAAGGCAGCUGGCUACGCAUAUAUUGACACUGAGGCACGAAAGCGUGGGGAUCAAACA